This 222-nucleotide ribosomal RNA is filed under the name uncultured bacterium. Its description in RNAcentral is "partial 16S ribosomal RNA". It matches the Rfam family "Bacterial small subunit ribosomal RNA", at positions 524 to 740 of the family's 1533-position model. The record is from RNAcentral.
UACGUAGGGGGCAAGCGUUGUCCGGAUUUAUUGGGCGUAAAGCGCUCGCAGGCGGCCCGAUGCGUCGUGCGUGAAACACCCCGGCUCAACUGGGGAGGGUCGUGCGAUACGAUCGGGCUUGAGGCCAGUAGGGGGAUGCGGAAUUGCCGGGUGUAGGCGGUCGGGAAUGCGUAGAGAUCCGGAAGAACACCGGUGGCGAAGGCGGCCUGCUGGGCAGUGAGC